UUCACUGUGUAUUUUUAUAACAGGCGCCUCCUUGACCGUCCAUGAUAUUGCAGAUAUGCAGUGCCAAAAGCUUAUGUAUACUUCAUCAAACUGACCAUGUCACCUUGGAAUCUCCAAACAGUUGCAUAUGUGAAGGCAGUAUGGAACAGAGCAAACAACAGUGGGCCAGCGAGCUUCAAAAUUUUCAGUUCUAGGCUGUAUUUCCCAGUGGCUGUGUACUACCCACCAAAUCACAGGAAUCUCCCAGAAUAUUCACAACCCAGAAAAGACAGAACAGGAAUUGCUGCCCCAUCAUUGGAUCGAGCAUUGCAGGAAAAUAUAAAGAUGAGUAAAAGUGGAAAACCCCUAUCAAACUGGUACCGAACUGUGGAAUGGCAGAGAAGGAAUGGAAGCCAAGAUUAUUUAAAAAGCCAAACUUGGGUAACAUUAAUAAUGAAAGGAAGGAGAACGUUAAUAAUAAAAGGAAGAAUGAAACAACUACCCAAGAAGUCCAUAUGGCUAUGCUUCCUGUAACCUACAUGCUCACUCUAAUGACACUUACUCCUGCUCACUGGUGAUUCUUACUGGUGUACAAAACCAAAUGGUCACUAUUAUGGGGAUAAGGAAGUGUUUGCUUGUUCUGUGGCUCUGCAGUGUCAAUUUUCAUAAGAUUUUCUAAAAGGACAUAUGAAGACAUACAGUUUUACUCCUCAUCUGUGUAAAUGUUAAAAAUUUGAAGGCU
This 721-nucleotide long non-coding RNA is filed under the name Crocodylus porosus (Australian saltwater crocodile). RNAcentral's name for it is "lncRNA (ENSCPRG00005001940.1)". Lineage: Eukaryota; Metazoa; Chordata; Crocodylia; Crocodylidae. The record is from RNAcentral.